GUUGUUGGAAACCUGAGACGGUCUCAGUGUCUCCCGAAGAAAAUGGGAGACGCUGAGACCGUCUCGAGACGAACCGUCUUCUAGUGUGGACAAGGCUUUAGAGUGGCAAACGAAAUUCGUCAUUCGAUUGCUGCACCAGACCUCAGCUGUUUUGGAGCAGCAGUAGCAGAUUUCGGAGGCUUUUGGAAGAACUCUGGUGCGUGAGGAAUGCUCGGCGUCAGCUAAAGCCGGUUUCUUGGAUGCGGAAGACUCACGAGAAGGAUCGGUAACCCAAAAGUAAAUUAAAGAAGACAACAAAUGAAAAUAACACAAUGCAAAAGAGCACAGUCGAGGGCAGGUUGCCUUCUGGAUGCCAAUUCAUCAAGCGUUCCUAACGACACAUUUGGCUGAACCGACGGCACCAACUGGAAAACGUCUGUUCAUCAAUUGGUGAUUGUACCACUGAUAAGCUGAUAUAACUCCCCCUGCGGAGGAGAUAAUUUUUCAUCGCUUAGAUCUCCUGGCGCCAACUAGCUCAUCAUUCCCUCAGCUUCGUUUCCCGAUCAUGUAAUAAUACCAGAUUAAGAUUUUUUUGAAAGUCUAUAUAUUUUUCAACGUGCCAUUAGAACACGUGAAGUAAUUUUUGAAUGCUAGCGUCAUCACUUCCUGUGUAUUAAUCACUUACUAAGCAGUUAAGACACAAACCUUUUGUUGAUGGAAAUGUGGUGCAGAGUUAUAUCAGUUUAUCAGUGAUUGUACCUUCUUCAGAAGUCCUAUCUACCAGAUCUGAAUUUUCGUCAUACCUCCAGCGAAUUUCCGGAAGGGUGAAAAACCGUUGGGAAACCGGAACAACUGGAUCAGAAUCUGGAGUAAUCGCAACAUUUUUCUAACGGGAGCUCCGCCGGAUAUCACUAUGCUAGAUGGUCUAAAUUAUGUGAGGGCACGUGAAGUUUCUAAAAAGUGCCAAUCGCCGUAUGUUUUUGACAUGACGAAAAUUCGACUGUUCUGCAAAUCAAUCGUAGCCACAGAUACUAUCCACUGAAAAGUCAAUUCCAGUGACGAUUGCAGCCUCGUUUUUCUUCCGGGUGCAUCGUGCAGGUUAGUUUUGAAAGAAAAUUGAAAGUUUCCUAAAUCCCGUUCUUUAUGAAACUAACAGCAUUCUGUUAUACCUGACCGUAUUAAUUGAAAAUUGCUCCGGGAAAAAUUGAAUUUUUCGAAAA
Molecule: long non-coding RNA, 1199 nt
Organism: Uranotaenia lowii
Lineage: Eukaryota; Metazoa; Arthropoda; Insecta; Diptera; Culicidae
Exons: 4
Source: RefSeq, a predicted model, not a curated record